RNAcentral lists this ribosomal RNA (506 nucleotides) under uncultured bacterium. RNAcentral describes it as "partial 16S ribosomal RNA". It matches the Rfam family "Bacterial small subunit ribosomal RNA", at positions 29 to 523 of the family's 1533-position model. The record is from RNAcentral.
AGUGAACGCUGGCGGCAGGCCUAACACAUGCAAGUCGAACGGCAGCACAGCAGUAGCAAUACUGUGGGUGGCGAGUGGCGGACGGGUGAGGAAUACAUCGGGAUCUACCCGGUUGUGGGGGAUAACGUAGGGAAACUUACGCUAAUACCGCAUACGACCGAGAGGUGAAAGCGGCGGACCGCAAGGCGUCGCGCGAUCGGAUGAACCGAUGUCGGAUUAGCUAGUUGGUGGGGUAAAGGCUCACCAAGGCGAGGAUGCGUAGCUGGUCUGAGAGGAUGAUCAGCCACACUGGAGCUGAGACGCGGUCCAGACUCCUACGGGAGGCAGCAGUGGGGAAUAUUGGACAAUGGGCGCAAGCCUGAUCCAGCCAUGCCGCGUGUGUGAAGAAGGCCUUCGGGUUGUAAAGCACUUUGGUUGGGGAAGAAAAGCAUUCGGUUAAUACCCGGGUGUUCUGACGGUACCCAAAGAAUAAGCACCGGCUAACUUCGUGCCAGCCGCCGCCGUAA